This 369-nucleotide long non-coding RNA is filed under the name Ananas comosus (pineapple). RNAcentral describes it as "long non-coding RNA (ACOM_LNC007623)". The record is from RNAcentral. Lineage: Eukaryota; Viridiplantae; Streptophyta; Magnoliopsida; Poales; Bromeliaceae.
AAGAAGUUUUUUUUUUUUUGGCUAAAUUACAGAAAAUUCCUCCGUUAAAAUCCGAUUUUUUACUUUUCUCUCCUGUCAUUUAAAAACCUACACUUUACCCUUUUGUAAAAUAAAAAAUAUUCACAUGAAUACGGUAUGAACUGUGAUGACAAAAUAACCAUUUUGCCCCUCAUCAUGUUCACAUUAGAGAAGACUGAGGGUAUUUUUGACAUAAAAAAUAUAUAUAAUAAUAUUUUAUAAACGACACCCUAACAGUUUACUAACAGAAGGGGGCGAAGUGAAUAUUUUUUAUUUUACAAGGGGGCAAAGUGUAGAUUUUUAAAUUACAAGAAGGGAAAGUGAAAAAUCAGAUUUUGACAUAAGGAUUUU